RNAcentral lists this long non-coding RNA (4401 nucleotides) under Olea europaea subsp. europaea. Lineage: Eukaryota; Viridiplantae; Streptophyta; Magnoliopsida; Lamiales; Oleaceae. The record is from RNAcentral.
CAAAUCUUUAGGUAACUAAAAGUCAUCCCUGAAAAGGGACUUAUGCUUUCAAAGAACAAUCACCUUAAGAUUGAAGGCUAUACCAUAGUUAUCAAAAUCGGACUGGACUGUUCGAACCACCUAUGAUUUUAACUAUGCUGCUGACCCGAUAAAAAUCCAAAGGAACCGCUGGCCCAAUUAUGAAGAAACCGCCCAAUCUACAAACGUUUAUAUAAAAACCAAUUAUCUUCUCCUUCACAUUCAAAAAUCAAAUUCGACGCCCUACCUGUAGAGAGUAGCCUCUCAGCCAUCCCCUGCAACUUGCAAUUUAACUCCCAAAAAUCCAAACCUUCAAAUUUCAAGUUAUAUUAGAUGGAAGAAGAAGAUGUAAGUUUAAAUUUUAUGAUUUUGUUUAUAAAUUUCAGUUUUUUGUCAAAGUAUGCGUAAAAUAUAUAUCUCCAGAUUGGUAAUUUUUGAAAGAAUUUUAAUGCCCUACUGAAUUCUGUAUGCUUUAUUGAUUCAAAGCCCUACUUGUCUGAAUUUCAUACUUUAUUGCAUAGUUUAUCAUGCCCUACCUGUGUUAGGUGGAAUUCCUUUUACCUGAAUUUCAUGCGAAAACUAUAUCUCAAUGAAGUAUGAAUGAAUUACAUUCAGAUGACUAGUUGAUUUUCUGAAUUAAUUAAGUUCAGAUGACUGUUUGAUUUUCUCAUGUAUUCAGAAAAUCAUUUAUGAGAUUAAUGGUUCAGAUGACUAGUUGAUUUUCUGAAUUAAUUAAGUUCAGAUGACUGUUUGAUUUUCUCAUGUAUUCAAAAAAUCAUUUAUGAGAUUAAUGGUCAAUCUCUUCCAAACUGCUGCAAAAUGGUUUAUGAGAUUAAUGGUCAAUCUCUUACAAAUGAAUUAAGUUCAGAUUAUCUGGUCAAUUUUGUAAGUUAGAUUAAGUUUAGCUGGGUGAUUUUCUCAUCUAUUAAAAAUUGCUAGGAACAAGCUAUUACCGAUCAUUAUCAUCCACCAUACAACUAUGAUGGUUUACACUUUCAUUAAGUUAGGAAAUGCUUCCAUUUCCAUUAGAAUUAGGUGGAAUUCCCACUGCUCUGGUUUUUCAAAUUUUGGUUUAGUCACUGACUAUUGCUAAUUUAACUAGGCCAUACAAGGUUGUGGAAGUAAAAAAGUUAAAUUGAAAUUAUGGAAAAAACAACAAGUGAACUGGAGAACCGGUUGACUACACUGGUUAGACCAAUUAGCCUAUUGGUAGUAUGCUUGACCCCAGUUGUUGUGUUUCUUAAGAUUCUCAAUUACUAGGCUAUGCGUAGUAGUUCUUGUUGAUGAAAGUAAUCCAUGACAUGCUAUAAUUUGCUAAAUAUAUUAUUUUCCCAGUCUUUGAAUGCUUCAUUUUUAUGCUCCUGUUAAUGAAUUUCAGUUUCUUCAUCUACAUCUUAGUUUUUGUGAACAAAAAUGUCCCAUGGUGUUAUCACAUUUCACAGUUAAUGCGGACUAUGUCUGAAUAACCAAUCAAUGCGGAUGAUUUUGCAAGUUGGUGGAUUUUUCAUAGUACCAAUGUUAAAUAUUAGUCAUGACUUGUAUAUAUGAGGUCACCACUUGAUAAGUAAUGCACCCUAUGAAUUAGUUCUUAUUACUAUUAGAAUAUCAUUCAUUGGUGAACACUAAAUAUUUGUAAUUGAACUUCUUGUUUUCUUUGUAUAGUUCAAUGGUGUUAAUAAUGCCUCGUGCUAGAGGAAGAAUUGAUAUAGCAUGGUGACAUUGUAGAGAGGUUUUAGAAACUGGUAAUAAUGGAAAUUUAAAAAAAAAAAAAAAAAAAAAAACUCAUUUGCUUGUAUUGUGGAAAGACUUUUGGUGGAGGUGGUAUUAAUCGAGUCAAACAACACUUAACGGGAUUAAAAGGUGAUGUAGAUUCUUGUCGUAGAGUACCUCCUGAUGUUAGAUUUUAAAUGAAAGAAAACUUGGACAUCUUUGUGCAAAGAAGUGUAGAACUCGAGAAGUUCUUGAUGAGUAGAACGCACAUAGCUCUUAUUAUUGGGAACAAGAAGACCACACGUAUAGACAUUUGGGUGAUGAUGAUGUUCAAGAGAUUAUCCAUUCUAGUUCUCAAGGAAAGGAUAUAGCUAUUGAUAAAAGUCGAAGAAAAUGAAUGGGAGCUAAACAUUUAAAAGAACAAAAAGGAGUUGGUUCUUACUUCAUGCCAAGAACAGGACCUGGUAACCAACCUACUAUCAAAAGUGUUCUCAGAGCAAAGAAGCUAUAGAGAAAUGUGAUCUCACUAUAUCAAAAUAGAUGAUUGAUUCAUGUAUUCCUUUCAAUGCUAUAAAUUCUGUGUAUUAUCAACAAAGUAUAGAUGUCAUAGCUAGCAUGGACCCUGGCUAUAAAAGUGCGAACUUUCACAGUCUCGACUAAAAAUGUCGAUGAGGUACAAAAUUAUGUUGAAAGCUAUCGUUUAAUGUGGAAGACGACUGGUUGUACAAUUAUGGCAUAUGGUUGGAGACAUCAGUGUAAAAGAAAUCUUAUUAAUUUUUUAGUUUAUUGUCCAAAAGGAACAAUAUUCUUAAAAUCCAUGAUGCUUUAGAUGAAUGAAAAAGUGCUGAUAUGUUAUACAAGUUAUUUCGAGAUGUUGUGUUAUUUGUAGGAUCAUAAUAUGUGGUCCAUAUGGUGACGGACAAUGCUGUAAACUAUGUUGACUCUGGUAGGUUAUUGAAGCGAGAGUUUUAAACAUUGUUUUGGUCUCCAUGUGCAGUUUAUUAUAUUAAUCUAAUGUUUUGUGAUAUUGGUAAGCUUGAUGAAGUUAGUAAUGUCGUAUAUCAAGCAUCAAAAAUCACAAAAUACAUAUACUACCAUUGCUACCCAUUGCAUUUGAUGAGAAAAUUUACUGGAAGAAAGGAAAUACUUCGACCCGCUCCUACUCAUUUUGCUACUAACUUUAUUGCUUUACAAGGCAUAUUGGCCCAAAAGGAUCCGUUAAGAGCAAUGGCGACAUCUAAAAAAUGGACUUUAUCAGCAUAUGCAAAGGAAGGUAAAGGAAAGAGAAUUGUUGAUGACGUACUUGAUUCUGUGUUUUGGAAAGAGUGUGCUACUAUUGUGCAUCUUACUGAGCCCCUCGUUCGUGUUUUACGAUUGUUGAUAGUGAUGAAAAGCCUUCGAUAGGCUACUUGUAUCAAGCUAUUCAUGUGGCAAAAAGUGAGAUGGAGCGCAUGUUUCAAAGAAAGAAGAAUAGAGUGGCUCCUUACUUGCAAAUUAUUCAGAAUUGAUGGGAUAGUCAAUUACAUAAAAAUCUUCAUGCCGCUAGGUAUUGGUGAAACCCUUCUUUCCAAUACAAUAAUCCUGAUAUGGAAAAUUAUAGACAAACUAUUUCAAGACUUUUAGAUGUAAUCGAGAGAUAUGCUUAGGGUCAACCUGAUUUAAGAAGCAAAUUGACUAGUGAAAUGAGAUUAUUUAGGCAAGCACAUGGUGACUUUGGAUGUUUAUUUGCAGUAGCUAAUCGUCUAGAAUGGCUUCUGGUAAAUUGUUAUUCUCAUGUUAUGUACUUUAUUAUGUUAUAUAAUUCAGAUUUUAGUUUAUGUAACAUAUGCCUAUUUUAUUUCUCUUUCUUUUGGUACAGAUGAAUGGUGGAUGUGUUAUGAUAGUAGUGCACCAAAUCUACAAACUCUUGCAAUUCGAGUAUUAAGUCAAACAUGUAGUUCUUCAGGUUGCGAGAGAAAUUGGAGUAUGUUUGAACAUAUUCAUUCUAAAAAGGGAAAUAGACUCGAGCACCAAAAGCUUAAUGAUCUUGUUUAUGUUCACUACAAUUUACGAUUGCAACAAUGGUAUAUUAUUUAAAUAAAUCCUUUAAUCCUUUUGUGAAUUUUUCUAAUUAAGAUUUUGCUUUCUUGUACCAGAAUUAUAUUUUGAUUAAUUAUAAAUUGGAUAAUAAACUUUGUUUAGGAAUUAUUUCAAAAGUCGAAAUUAUGAUCCUAUCGACUUUGAAAGGUUUGGCAUUUAUGGCAAUUAGGUAUUAGAGGAGAAGCCACCAAAUUAGGUGGAUGAUGAGUUGGAGACAUUUCAUCGUGAUUUGGGUGUAUGUUCUAUACAAAAUGAUAAAAAUAAUGGUAACUGUUUGACCGACGCUAUUAUUUUUACAUUUUAUUAAAGUAUAUUUGAUGUAAUGUUGAAAUUUAAAAUUAUUUUCAGAUGAAUUACAUUUUGAUGAUCUUGAUCUUGAUUGUGAUGGAAAUGACGACAAUGGAAAUGGUAAUAGAAAUUAUACAAACAAUGGAAACGAGGAUUUUAGUAUGACUGAGACUCCAUCAUUGGUACAAGGCGAAGGAAUUGAAGAAUUUAUGUUCGAGACCCCAGCAUUGAUGCAUUCUAACUCUUCUUAAUUUAGAAGAUAUUGAUUUAUUUCAAAAUUUCAAAUAAUUUACUUUGUUAACAUGG